UGUUAAAAAUUUCAUCUAUUUUUACUAUUAAAAAUUGGUAUGGUUGAUAAAAUAAACAAAAAAUGACACAUGUUGUGUCACGGGUAUCUCAUGCUGAUGUACAUGGACCAACUUUUAACAAUAAAAAUGAAUGUACUUUUUAAUA
Gossypium arboreum is the source of this 145-nucleotide microRNA precursor. It matches the Rfam family "MIR7502 microRNA precursor family". Lineage: Eukaryota; Viridiplantae; Streptophyta; Magnoliopsida; Malvales; Malvaceae. The record is from Rfam.